GACGAACGCUGUCGGCGUGCUUAACACAUGCAAGUCGAACGGAAAGGCCCUGCUUUUGUGGGGUGCUCGAGUGGCGAACGGGUGAGUAACACGUGAGUAACCUGCCCUUGACUUUGGGAUAACUUCAGGAAACUGGGGCUAAUACCGGAUAGGAGCUCCUGCUGCAUGGUGGGGGUUGGAAAGUUUCGGCGGUUGGGGAUGGACUCGCGGCUUAUCAGCUUGUUGGUGGGGUAGUGGCUUACCAAGGCUUUGACGGGUAGCCGGCCUGAGAGGGUGACCGGCCACAUUGGGACUGAGAUACGGCCCAGACUCCUACGGGAGGCAGCAGUGGGGAAUAUUGCACAAUGGGCGGAAGCCUGAUGCAGCAACGCCGCGUGCGGGAUGACGGCCUUCGGGUUGUAAACCGCUUUCGCCUGUGACGAAGCGUGAGUGACGGUAAUGGGUAAAGAAGCACCGGCUAACUACGUGCCAGCAGCCGCGGUGAUACGUAGGGUGCGAGCGUUGUCCGGAUUUAUUGGGCGUAAAGGGCUCGUAGGUGGUUGAUCGCGUCGGAAGUGUAAUCUUGGGGCUUAACCCUGAGCGUGCUUUCGAUACGGGUUGACUUGAGGAAGGUAGGGGAGAAUGGAAUUCCUGGUGGAGCGGUGGAAUGCGCAGAUAUCAGGAGGAACACCAGUGGCGAAGGCGGUUCUCUGGGCCUUUCCUGACGCUGAGGAGCGAAAGCGUGGGGAGCGAACAGGCUUAGAUACCCUGGUAGUCCACGCUGUAAACGGUGGGUACUAGGUGUGGGGUCCAUUCCACGGGUUCCGUGCCGUAGCUAACGCUUUAAGUACCCCGCCUGGGGAGUACGGCCGCAAGGCUAAAACUCAAAGGAAUUGACGGGGCCCCGCACAAGCGGCGGAGCAUGCGGAUUAAUUCGAUGCAACGCGUAGAACCUUACCUGGGUUUGACAUGGAUCGGGAGUGCUCAGAGAUGGGUGUGCCUCUUUUGGGGUCGGUUCACAGGUGGUGCAUGGCUGUCGUCAGCUCGUGUCGUGAGAUGUUGGGUUAAGUCCCGCAACGAGCGCAACCCUUGUUCACUGUUGCCAGCACGUUAUGGUGGGGACUCAGUGGAGACCGCCGGGGUCAACUCGGAGGAAGGUGGGGAUGACGUCAAGUCAUCAUGCCCCUUAUGUCCAGGGCUUCACGCAUGCUACAAUGGCUGGCACAGAGAGUGGCGAGCCUGUGAGGGUGAGCGAAUCUCGGAAAGCCGGUCUCAGUUCGGAUUGGGGUCUGCAACUCGACCUCAUGAAGUCGGAGUCGCUAGUAAUCGCAGAUCAGCAACGCUGCGGUGAAUACGUUCCCGGG
Molecule: ribosomal RNA, 1343 nt
Filed under: uncultured bacterium
Lineage: Bacteria
Description: 16S ribosomal RNA
Rfam family: Bacterial small subunit ribosomal RNA
Source: RNAcentral